This 488-nucleotide ribosomal RNA is filed under the name uncultured bacterium. Its description in RNAcentral is "bacterial SSU rRNA". It matches the Rfam family "Bacterial small subunit ribosomal RNA", at positions 523 to 1011 of the family's 1533-position model. The record is from RNAcentral.
AUACGGAGGGGGUUAGCGUUGUUCGGAAUUACUGGGCAUAAAAGAGCACGUAGGCGGCUCGCUCAGUCGGGUGUGAAAGCCCACGGCCCAACCGUGGAACUGCACCCGAUACUGGCGAGCUCGAGGACGGAAGGGGUGAGUGGAACUCCAGGUGGAACGGUGAAAUGUAUAGAUAUCUGGAGGAACACCGGUGGCGAAAGCGGCUCACUGGUCCGUCUCUGACGCUGAGGUGCGAAAGCUAGGGUAGCGAACGGGAUUAGAUACCCCGGUAGUCCUAGCCGUAAACGAUGAAUGCCAGACGUCAGCAAGCAUGCUUGUUGGUGUCACACCUAACGGAUUAAGCAUUCCGCCUGGGGAGUACGGUCGCAAGAUUAAAACUCAAAGGAAUUGACGGGGCCCGCACAAGCGGUGGAGCAUGUGGUUUAAUUCGAAGCAACGCGCAGAACCUUACCAACCCUUGACAUCCUCGGACCGCCAGAGAGAUCUGG